Long non-coding RNA from Antechinus flavipes (yellow-footed antechinus), 626 nucleotides. RefSeq lists it as uncharacterized. The transcript is spliced from 3 exons. NCBI's taxonomy places the organism in Eukaryota, Metazoa, Chordata, Mammalia, Dasyuromorphia, Dasyuridae. The record is from RefSeq and is a predicted model, not a curated record.
UGUGUGAUCACGUGACGAUGGAUCUGGGGCCGCCAGGAGCUUCAGGAGUUGGAGGAGGGGCUGCUUUUCCCUCGUCACACGGAGGAAUGCUGAUUCACUGCUGUGAGCAUAAUCCCUGGAGUGAAGCUGUCUGCUGUAAGGACACUAGGAGGGCUUCCACCAGCUCUACAUAGGCAGUCACCGUUUAGCUCUGUGAAUGCAGAGAAGAUGAAGAUCGUUGAAAGCCUCUUCUUCCUUGUGUACUAUUUGCCUGUUACAAAGCCUUGCGUGGAAUUUCCCUGGGACUUGCCAUUAUUGUAAGAAUGCUGAUAUUUUAUCUCACCAUGAUAAGAUCAGGUUACUCGUUCCAGUAACCUGGACAUGGGCUGCAUUACGUCAAAGUUCAUGUGCUUCUUCUUCCCCAGGGGAAAGAAGUUAGAGACAGUAUCAUCUACAUGGCUUCAGAAGCUGUACAGUAACGACCUGAGCCGCCUCUUGUUUCAACUCUUGCCCCAUGGGAGAAUUUGGUAAACUGCUAAUGGUGUACUCACAAAUCAGAUGAAAAGAAUCUGAUACAAGAUUUUUAAAAUGCCUAAUUCUACCUACUUUAAUGUUAAUAAUAUGAAAUGAAUAUAAUGCCAAUAUGC